AACAUCGGUUCCCGUACGAGCAUCGAAGUUAAGCAAUGUCGAAGCUGGUCAGUACUUAGAUGGAUGACUGCUUGGGAAUACCAGGUGCUGUAA
Acanthosepion pharaonis is the source of this 93-nucleotide non-coding RNA. NCBI's taxonomy places the organism in Eukaryota, Metazoa, Mollusca, Cephalopoda, Sepiida, Sepiidae. The record is from the annotation of a GenBank genome assembly.